AGAGUUUGAUCCUGGCUCAGGAUGAACGCUAGCGGCAGGCUUAAUACAUGCAAGUCGAGGGGCAGCAUGGUGUAGCAAUACACUGAUGGCGACCGGCAAACGGGUGCGGAACACGUACAGAACCUUCCUUCGAGCGGGGAAUAGCCCAGAGAAAUUUGGAUUAAUACCCCAUAGUACAACGGAGUGGCAUCGCUUUGUUGUUAAAGAUUUAUCACUUGAAGAUGGCUGUGCGGCUGAUUAGGUAGUUGGCGGGGUAACGGCCCACCAAGCCUGCGAUCAGUAACUGGUGUGAGAGCACGACCAGUCACACGGGCACUGAGACACGGGCCCGACUCCUACGGGAGGCAGCAGUAAGGAAUAUUGGUCAAUGGACGAAAGUCUGAACCAGCCAUGCCGCGUGGAGGAUGAAGGUCCUCUGGAUUGUAAACUUCUUUUAUAUGGGACGAAAAAAGGCUUUUCUAGGUCGUCUGACGGUACCAUAUGAAUAAGCACCGGCUAACUCCGUGCCAGCAGCCGCGGUAAUACGGAGGGUGCAAGCGUUAUCCGGAUUCACUGGGUUUAAAGGGUGCGUAGGUGGGUUGGUAAGUCAGUGGUGAAAUCCCCGAGCUUAACUUGGGAACUGCCAUUGAUACUAUCAGUCUUGAAUACCGUGGAGGUCAGCGGAAUAUGUCAUGUAGCGGUGAAAUGCUUAGAUAUGACAUAGAACACCAAUUGCGAAGGCAGCUGGCUACCCGAAUAUUGACACUGAGGCACGAAAGCGUGGGGAUCAAACAGGAUUAGAUACCCUGGUAGU
This 793-nucleotide ribosomal RNA is filed under the name uncultured bacterium. RNAcentral describes it as "bacterial SSU rRNA". It matches the Rfam family "Bacterial small subunit ribosomal RNA", at positions 8 to 794 of the family's 1533-position model. The record is from RNAcentral.